UACAGAGACUGCAAGCGUUAUUCGGAUUCACUGGGCGUAAAGCGUCCGCAGGUGGCAGUUCAAGUCUGCUGUCAAAGACCGGGGCUUAACUUCGGAAAGGCAGUGGAAACUGAACAGCUAGAGUAUGGUAGGGGCAGAGGGAAUUCCUGGUGUAGCGGUGAAAUGCGUAGAGAUCAGGAAGAACAUCGGUGGCGAAGGCGCUCUGCUGGACCGACAUUGACGCUGAUGAGCGAAAGCUAGGGGAGCAAACGGG
This 253-nucleotide ribosomal RNA is filed under the name uncultured bacterium. Its description in RNAcentral is "partial 16S ribosomal RNA". It matches the Rfam family "Bacterial small subunit ribosomal RNA", at positions 524 to 776 of the family's 1533-position model. The record is from RNAcentral.